This 440-nucleotide ribosomal RNA is filed under the name uncultured bacterium. Its description in RNAcentral is "partial 16S ribosomal RNA". It matches the Rfam family "Bacterial small subunit ribosomal RNA", at positions 338 to 795 of the family's 1533-position model. The record is from RNAcentral.
CCUACGGGUGGCAGCAGUGGGGAAUAUUGCACAAUGAGGGAAACCCUGAUGCAGCGACGCCGCGUGCGUGAAGAAGUAAUUCGUUAUGUAAAGCUCUAUCAGCAGGGAAGAACAUGACGGUACCUGAGUAAUAAGCCCCGGGUAACUACUUGCCAGCAGCCGCGGUAAUACGUAGGGGGCAAGCGUUAUCCGGAUUUACUGGGGGGAAAGGCAUCGUAGACGGCAGUGCAAGUCUGGAGGGAAAGGCGGGGGCUCAAACCCCGGACUGCUUUGGAAACUGUACGGCUGGAGUGCUGGAGAGGUAAGUGGAAUUCCUAGUGUAGCGGUGAAAUGCGUAGAUAUUAGGAGGAACACCAGAGGCGAAGGCGGCUUACUGGACUGUAACUGACGUUGAGGGUCGAAAGCGUGGGGAGCAAACAGGAUUAGAUACCCUAGUAGUC